UACGUAGGGGCUAGCGUUAUCCGGAAUUACUGGGCGUAAAGGGUGCGUAGGUGGUUUCUUAAGUCAGAGGUGAAAGGCUACGGCUCAACCGUAGUAAGCCUUUGAAACUGGGAAACUUGAGUGCAGGAGAGUAGAGUGGAAUUCCUAGUGUAGCGGUGAAAUGCGUAGAUAUUAGGAGGAACACCAGUUGCGAAGGCGGCUCUCUGGACUGUAACUGACACUGAGGCACGAAAGCGUGGGGAGCAAACAGGAUUAGAUACCCUGUUAGUCCCUGAG
Molecule: ribosomal RNA, 276 nt
Filed under: uncultured prokaryote
Description: partial 16S ribosomal RNA
Rfam family: Bacterial small subunit ribosomal RNA
Source: RNAcentral